RNAcentral lists this transfer RNA (66 nucleotides) under Helianthus annuus (common sunflower). RNAcentral's name for it is "sRNA HanXRQr2_Chr12g0556761". It matches the Rfam family "tRNA". Rfam says of the family: Transfer RNA (tRNA) molecules are approximately 80 nucleotides in length. Their secondary structure includes four short double-helical elements and three loops (D, anti-codon, and T loops). The record is from RNAcentral. Lineage: Eukaryota; Viridiplantae; Streptophyta; Magnoliopsida; Asterales; Asteraceae.
GGAGAGAUGGCUGAGUGGACGAAAGCGGCGGAUUGCUAAUCCGUUGCGUCCGUUUGAGUUUCGUCG